AGAGUUUGAUCAUGGCUCAGAACGAACGCUGGCGGCGUGCYUAAUACAUGCAAGUCGAACGAGAAAGCCUAACUAAGCUUGCUUAGGAGGGUGAUUAAAGUGGCGAACGGGUGAGUAACACGUGGGCAAUCUGCCCUCGGGUUGGGGAUAAGCCCUCGAAAGGGGGUCUAAUACCGAAUGAUAUCAUUUUGCGGCAUCGCUUUAUGAUCAAAGGCGGGGUAACCUGCCGCCUGAGGAUGAGCCCGCGCCCCAUUAGCUUGUUGGCGAGGUAACGGCUCACCAAGGCUAUGAUGGGUAGCCGGCCUGAGAGGGUGAACGGCCACACUGGGACUGAGAUACGGCCCAGACUCCUACGGGAGGCAGCAGUAGGGAAUAUUGCGCAAUGGACGAAAGUCUGACGCAGCAACGCCGCGUGGAUGAUGAAGCUCCUUGGAGUGUAAAAUCCUGUCAGUGGGGACGAACCGGUAGGGGAGUAACUGACCCUGCCCUGACGGUACCCACAGAGGAAGUUCCGGCCAACUCCGUGCCAGCAGCCGCGGUAAUACGGGGGGAACGAGCGUUGUUCGGAUUCACUGGGCGUAAAGGGCGUGUAGGUGGAUUUUCAAGUCGAAUGUGAAAACCGGCGGCUUAACUGCCGGCCUGCAUUUGAUACUGUUAAUCUUGAGUACGGAAGAGGGAAGUGGAAUUCCAGGUGUAGCGGUGACAUGCGUAGAUAUCUGGAAGAACACCGGUGGCGAAGGCGGCUUCCUGGUCCGAUACUGACACUAAGGCGCGAAAGCUAGGGGAGCAAACAGGAUUAGAUACCCUGGUAGUCCUAGCCGUAAACGAUGGGCACUAGGUGUUGGGGGUGUCGACCCCCUCAGUGCCGAAGCUAACGCAUUAAGUGCCCCGCCUGGGGAGUACGGUCGCAAGGCUGAAACUCAAAAGAAUUGACGGGGGCCCGCACAAGCGGUGGAGUAUGUGGUUUAAUUCGAGGCAACGCGAAGAACCUUACCUGGGUUUGACAUAUAUUGGACAGCUUCUGAAAGGAAGUCUUCCCUUCGGGGACUGAUAUACAGGUGCUGCAUGGCUGUCGUC
This 1077-nucleotide ribosomal RNA is filed under the name uncultured bacterium. RNAcentral's name for it is "bacterial SSU rRNA". It matches the Rfam family "Bacterial small subunit ribosomal RNA", at positions 8 to 1056 of the family's 1533-position model. The record is from RNAcentral.